UACGAAGGGUGCAAGCGUUACUCGGAAUUACUGGGCGUAAAGCGUGCGUAGGUGGUUUGUUAAGUCUGAUGUGAAAGCCCUGGGCUCAACCUGGGAACGGCAUUGGAAACUGGCUUACUAGAGUGCGGUAGAGGGGUGUGGAAUUCCCGGUGUAGCAGUGAAAUGCGUAGAUAUCUGGAGGAACACCGGUGGCGAAGGCGGCAUCCUGGACCGGCAUUGACGCUGAGGCGCGAAAGCCAGGGGAGCAAACGGG
This 253-nucleotide ribosomal RNA is filed under the name uncultured bacterium. RNAcentral's name for it is "partial 16S ribosomal RNA". It matches the Rfam family "Bacterial small subunit ribosomal RNA", at positions 524 to 776 of the family's 1533-position model. The record is from RNAcentral.